This 589-nucleotide ribosomal RNA is filed under the name Penicillium janthinellum. RNAcentral describes it as "partial large subunit ribosomal RNA". It matches the Rfam family "Eukaryotic large subunit ribosomal RNA", at positions 51 to 655 of the family's 3401-position model. Lineage: Eukaryota; Fungi; Ascomycota; Eurotiomycetes; Eurotiales; Aspergillaceae. The record is from RNAcentral.
CGGAGGAAAAGAAACCAACAGGGAUUGCCUCAGUAACGGCGAGUGAAGCGGCAAGAGCUCAAAUUUGAAAGCUGGCCCCUUCGGGGUCCGCAUUGUAAUUUGCAGAGGAUGCUUCGGGAGCGGCCCCCAUCUAAGUGCCCUGGAACGGGCCGUCAUAGAGGGUGAGAAUCCCGUCUGGGAUGGGGUGCCCGCGCCCGUGUGAAGCUCCUUCGACGAGUCGAGUUGUUUGGGAAUGCAGCUCUAAAUGGGUGGUAAAUUUCAUCUAAAGCUAAAUACUGGCCGGAGACCGAUAGCGCACAAGUAGAGUGAUCGAAAGAUGAAAAGCACUUUGAAAAGAGAGUUAAACAGCACGUGAAAUUGUUGAAAGGGAAGCGCUUGCGACCAGACUCGCUCGCGGGGUUCAGCCGGCCUUCGGGCCGGUGUACUUCCCCGCGGGCGGGCCAGCGUCGGUUUGGGCGGCCGGUCAAAGGCCCUCGGAAUGUAACGCCCCCCGGGGCGUCUUAUAGCCGAGGGUGCCAUGCGGCCAGCCCGGACCGAGGAACGCGCUUCGGCUCGGACGCUGGCAUAAUGGUCGUAAGCGACCCGUCUU